RNAcentral lists this ribosomal RNA (255 nucleotides) under uncultured bacterium. RNAcentral describes it as "partial 16S ribosomal RNA". It matches the Rfam family "Bacterial small subunit ribosomal RNA", at positions 524 to 776 of the family's 1533-position model. The record is from RNAcentral.
GACAGAGGGUGCAAACGUUGUUCGGAAUUACUGAGCGUAAGACGCGCGCAGGCGGUCCUUUAACGUUCUGAUGUGAAAGCCCACGGCUCAACCGUGGAGGGUCAUUGAAUACUGGAGGACUAGAGUACUGGAGAGGAAACUGGAAUUUACGGUGUAGCAGUGAAAUGCGUAGAGAUCGUAAGGAAGACCAGUGGCGAAGGCGAGUUUCUGGACAGUUACUGACGCUGAGGCACGAAGGCCAGGGGAGCAAACGGG